UCGAGCGCGGGAAGCGAGCUGAAGCCCUUCGGGGUGGACGCUCGUGGAACGAGCGGCGGACGGGUGAGUAACACGUGGGCAACCUACCUGUAAGACCGGAAUAACCCCGGGAAACCGGGGCUAAUGCCGGGUAACCGUUCGGUUCUCCUGAACCGAACGUAAAAGGAUGGCUUCUUGCUAUCGCUUACAGAUGGGCCCGCGGCGCAUUAGCUAGUUGGUAAGGUAACGGCUUACCAAGGCGACGAUGCGUAGCCGACCUGAGAGGGUGAUCGGCCACACUGGGACUGAGACACGGCCCAGACUCCUACGGGAGGCAGCAGUAGGGAAUCUUCCGCAAUGGACGAAAGUCUGACGGAGCAACGCCGCGUGAACGAUGAAGGCUUUCGGGUCGUAAAGUUCUGUUGUGAGGGAAGAACAAGGAUCGUGCGAAUAGAACGGUCCCUUGACGGUACCUCACGAGGAAGCCCCGGCUAACUACGUGCCAGCAGCCGCGGUAAUACGUAGGGGGCAAGCGUUGUCCGGAAUUAUUGGGCGUAAAGCGCACGCAGGCGGUUCCUUAAGUCUGAUGUGAAAGCCCGUGGCUCAACCACGGAGGGCCAUUGGAAACUGGGGAACUUGAGAACUGAAGAGGAGAGUGGAAUUCCACGUGUAGCGGUGAAAUGCGUAGAUAUGUGGAGGAACACCAGUGGCGAAGGCGACUCUCUGGUCGGUUUCUGACGCUGAGGUGCGAAAGCGUGGGUAGCAAACAGGAUUAGAUACCCUGGUAGUCCACGCCGUAAACGAUGAGUGCUAGGUGUUAGGGGGCUUCCACCCCUUAGUGCUGAAGUUAACGCAUUAAGCACUCCGCCUGGGGAGUACGGCCGCAAGGCUGAAACUCAAAGGAAUUGACGGGGGCCCGCACAANCGGUGGAGCAUGUGGUUUAAUUCGAAGCAACGCGAAGAACCUUACCAGGUCUUGACAUCCUUGGCUACUUCUAGAGAUAGAAGGUUCCCUUCGGGGACCAAGUGACAGGUGGUGCAUGGU
This 1024-nucleotide ribosomal RNA is filed under the name Salimicrobium sp. RNAcentral's name for it is "bacterial SSU rRNA". It matches the Rfam family "Bacterial small subunit ribosomal RNA", at positions 49 to 1049 of the family's 1533-position model. Lineage: Bacteria; Bacillati; Bacillota; Bacilli; Caryophanales; Bacillaceae. The record is from RNAcentral.